GAUGAACGCUGGCGGCGUGCUUAACACAUGCAAGUCGAACGAUGAAGCCCAGCUUGCUGGGUGGAUUAGUGGCGAACGGGUGAGUAACACGUGAGUAACCUGCCCUUGACUCUGGGAUAAGCCUGGGAAACUGGGUCUAAUACUGGAUAUGACUUCUCAUCGCAUGGUGGGGGGUGGAAAGAUUUAUUGGUUUUGGCUGGAUUCGCGGCUUAUCAGCUUGUUGGUGAGGUAAUGGCUCACCAAGGCGAAGACGGGUAGACGGCACGAGAGGGGGGCCGGCCACACGGGGACUGAGACACGGCGCAGACUCCUACGUGAGGCAGCAGGGGGGAAUAUUGCACAAUGGGCGCAAGCCUGAGGCAGCGACGCCGCGUGAGGGAUGACGGCCUUCGGGUUGUAAACCUCUUUCAGUGGGGAAGAAGCGAGAGUGACGGUACCUGCAGAAGAAGCGCCGGCUAACUACGCG
RNAcentral lists this ribosomal RNA (466 nucleotides) under uncultured bacterium. Its description in RNAcentral is "partial 16S ribosomal RNA". It matches the Rfam family "Bacterial small subunit ribosomal RNA", at positions 28 to 507 of the family's 1533-position model. The record is from RNAcentral.